This is a long non-coding RNA of Cercocebus atys (sooty mangabey), 1469 nucleotides long. RefSeq lists it as uncharacterized. Lineage: Eukaryota; Metazoa; Chordata; Mammalia; Primates; Cercopithecidae. The transcript is spliced from 2 exons. The record is from RefSeq and is a predicted model, not a curated record.
CCAUGAUCCGACCGGGCUGUCGUAAGGCGAGAGCGAAGCCCGCCAAGCGUCCGGAGGAAGCUGUCCCUGUCGCGGAGCUGCUACCGGGGCGCUGCUUGAGAGGUGCUCCUCCUGCAUCUUGAGGACAUUUUGCAUUUCGGCUCCCUUCCCAUCUCGCUGGCAUCGGAUACCCCAAGUGGGUCCUGUCUCCUCCGUGAAUCAGACUUCGGAAACUCCCUCGCUUCAGGGUCAGAGUCCAAGUACACAUGAGCUUGAGGAUUCUGAAUGCAUGCCCAGCUCUAGCCCUUAGAAACGCACGCUUGGACAGAUUUCUCCAUAUACAUCCCAGGAACGGACCCCUUGAGAAGGAAUUCUUCAUGCCGGCUGCCCUCUCCAGCGUCCUGGCCAGUGGCAUCGCGAUCCCAGGAAACCUCGCUUUAGAUAUUGCCCACCACCCCGCCCCAUUCACGGUUUCUGGGUCUUCCUGGAGGAAUGACAAAUCAGAGACUGCGGACUCCUGUGUUCACGUCAUUUUAGCCGCCGCGUCCCUUAUUUGGUGUACCCCUUGUCAGUCCCGGAGGAUGGCAACUAGACAAGAGGUCGCAGGCCCCCACACCCGCUCCAAAACGGCUCUUGGCUUUUUGUUUCUUUUAAGCGAUGAGUAAAGAGAUGACUUCCGUGAAAACUUUUGCUGUAGAAGAGAUCCUUCCCUCUGUAUAUGUGUGUGGGAUGGGAAGUGUCAGACACUUAGCUCCUUGAGAUCAAAAAGGUUUUGUGUUUGCUUUCUUCCCUUCUUUGCAUCCCUAGCAUCUUUAAAAGAGUAGGCAGGCGCGGUGACACAUGCGUGUAAUCCCAGCACUUUGGCGGUCGAGGCAGGAGGAUCACUUGAACCCAGGAGUUGGAGACCAACCUGGGCAACAUAGUGAGACCUCCAUCUCUACAAAAAAAAAAAAAAAAAAAAAAGAAAAUUAGCCCGGUGCCAGUGGUCCCAGCUAGCCGGUAGGAGGCUGAGGUGGGAGAAUUGCUUGAGCCAGGAAGGUUGAGGUUGCAAUGAGCUAUGAUAACACCACUGCACUCCAGCCUAGAGCAGACCCUGUCUAAAAAUUAUAUAUAUGUAUGUGUGUAUAUAUGUGUGUAUAUGUAUAUAUAUGUGUGUGUGUAUGUAUAUAUGCAGUGAUGUUUUCUGUUUUAUUUUUAUUUUAUUUUAUUUUAUUUUUGCACCUUUUGUACUCCUCCUGGAGUUUAUCCUGAUAGACAGCGGUUUGUCUGGAGCCAGAGCUCACAAGUAGUUGGAAGUGCCCUAAGGACGCCAUUUUGUUCUUAAAUAUAACUAGCAAAUAUUACUCAAAACUGUGCACCAUCCCCAACCCCUGGUCCCCAAUAAUUUGAAUAAUGUGAAUAUGCAAGUUAAGGUAUUGAGAUGGGAACCCUCCUGUGUGGUAUAUCUUGCUCUUAUGCUUUGUAAAGCCAAUAAACCUCAAUUCUACUCU